CGGCGCGGAGGGGCGGAGCCGGUCCCCGUGGCGCCCCGCCCUCCUGGCGCUGCGGACUGCGCGGCGGUCCCCAGGAAACUCAGAGAACCCAGAAGUGGUGGGGGAAAGGGACUGAUACGCCUGAGGCAAAGUCCUCUCUUUUUAAAUAAAACCUUUAUAUGUGCAUACUGUUCAUUUGGAUGAGAAGUUUCUGUUUUGGACAUUACCUGUGGCAUCCAGCACUAUGCAGCCAUUUUGUGGCUAUGAGUGGAGUCAAGCAGAGAGAACAACAAGCUGAACAUAGCAGAGAAGAAAGAUGGAAAAGAUCCAGGGUCAUUGAAAAAUUAACCAACCCUAGACACCACAUCUGGCCUCCUGUUAUGUAAGAGAGUAAAUGUUCUUUUAGUAAAGUUUUCUGCAUUUUGCAGCCCAAUACUUCCUUUGCUGUAUAUCUCU
Condylura cristata (star-nosed mole) is the source of this 435-nucleotide long non-coding RNA. RefSeq lists it as uncharacterized. NCBI's taxonomy places the organism in Eukaryota, Metazoa, Chordata, Mammalia, Eulipotyphla, Talpidae. The transcript is spliced from 3 exons. The record is from RefSeq and is a predicted model, not a curated record.